CUUUGGAAAGUUAUUAAACUGGAAGGAGUAUCUAUGAAGAAACCAAUAGAAUAAAGAUAUGCUGUAAAUGUAUAAUUUCGGGCAAAUACUUGUACUUUUAACACUUCUGAUAUGUUCUACAAGGUCACAUGAUUAUUUAGCAGCUUGUUCUGUAAUGGUGUGAGCCUCCUUUGGAAAGUUAUUAAACUGGAAGGUGUCUCUAUGAAGAAACCCAUAGAAUAAAGAGAUGCUGUAAAUGUAUAAUUUAGGGCAAAUACUUGUACUUUUAAGACUUCUGAUAUGUUCUACAAGGUCACAUAAUUAUUUAGCAGCUUGUUUUGUAACGGUGUGAGCCUCUUUUAAAAAGGUAUUGAACUGGAAGUGAAGUUAUGGUGUGUCUAUGAAGAAACACAGGGAUGCUGCAAAUGAAUGUUUUAUGGCCAAUACUUGUAUUUCAAUACUUCUGAUAUGCUCUACAAGGUCACAUAAUUAUUUAGCAGCUUGUUUUGUAACCGUGUGAGCCUCUUGUAAAAAGGUAUUGAACUGGAAGUGAAGUCAUGGUGUGUCUAUGAAGAAAUACAGGGAUGCCGCAAAUGUCUGUUUUAUGGCCGAUACUCAUAUUUCAGGGCUUCUGAUCUGUUCUGCAAGGUCACAUAAACAUGUCGACACUUGUUUUGUAGCGGUCUGUGCCACUUGUAAAAAGCUAUUGAACUGGAAGCGCAGUCAUGGUGUGUCUAUGAAGAUACUGUGGGAUGCUGCAAAUGUCUGUUUUACGGCCGAUACUCGUAUUUCAGGGCUUCUGAUCUGUUCUGCAAGGUCACAUAAACAUGUUGACACUUAUUUUGUAGCGGUGUGAGCCUCUUUUAAAAAGCUAUUGAACUGGAAGCGCAGUCAUGGUGUGUCUAUGAAGAAAUACAGGGAUGCUGCAGAUGUCUGUCUGAUGGCCGAUACUCGUACUUCAGGGCUUCUGAUCUGUUCUGCAAGGUCACAUAAACAUGUCGUCACUUGUUUUGUAGCGGUGUGUGCCACUUGUGAAAUGGUAUUGAACUGGGAGCCCCGUAAUGGUGUGUCUAUGAAGAAACUUUGGGAUGCUGCAGAUGUCUGUUUGACGGCCGAUACUCAUAUUUCAGGACUUCUGAUCUGUUCUACAAGGUCACAUGAUUAUGUAGCAGCUUGUUCUGUAACCGUGUGAGCCUCUUGUAAAAAGCUAUUGAACUGGAAACGCAG
Long non-coding RNA from Cyprinus carpio carpio, 1206 nucleotides. The record is from Ensembl. Lineage: Eukaryota; Metazoa; Chordata; Actinopteri; Cypriniformes; Cyprinidae.